This is a small nucleolar RNA of Jaculus jaculus (lesser Egyptian jerboa), 128 nucleotides long. The record is from Ensembl. Lineage: Eukaryota; Metazoa; Chordata; Mammalia; Rodentia; Dipodidae.
AGCAUUUGUGUGUGUGUUUGUUGGAACUCUGGACAAAAAUGUAAAGACGGAUACAAAAAUAAAUCUUCUUUUGCAAUCAGGAACUCAUUGCUCAGUAUGAGUUUUGAUAUUCUACAAGCAGUAAGGUG